RNAcentral lists this ribosomal RNA (408 nucleotides) under Coelothrix irregularis. RNAcentral's name for it is "bacterial LSU rRNA". It matches the Rfam family "Bacterial large subunit ribosomal RNA", at positions 2079 to 2485 of the family's 2925-position model. The record is from RNAcentral. Lineage: Eukaryota; Rhodophyta; Florideophyceae; Rhodymeniales; Champiaceae.
GACAGAAAGACCCUAUGAAGCUUUACUGUAGUUUGGAAUUGAGUUUGGGUUUAAUUUGUGCAGAAUAAGUGGGAGGCUAAGACUAUACACUUAAGGGUGUAUAUGAGCCAUCAGUGAGAUACCACUCUUGUUCAACUAGAAUUCUAAUUUUGAUGCCGUUAGCCGGCCAAAAAACAGUUUCAGAUAGGCAGUUUGACUGGGGCGGUCGCCUCCUAAAAAGUAACGGAGGCGUGCAAAGGUUCUCUCAGGCUGGUCGGAAAUCAGUCGUAGAGUAUAAAGGUAUAAGAGAGCUUGACUGCAAGACCUACAAGUCAAGCAGAGACGAAAGUCGGCCUUAGUGAUCCGACAGUGCUGAGUGGAAAGGCUGUCGCUCAACGGAUAAAAGUUACUCUAGGGAUAACAGGCUGA